CCCUAAAAGCUUUAUUUUAAAUAUAUUUUAAAAAUUAAUUAUAAGUAAUAAAUUAAAUAUAAAAAUUAACUGGGGUAGUUGUUUCAAAAAAAUUGAAAUUUUUUUACAGUUUUAAAUAAAUGGUUUAAGUUCUUUUAGAUAAGGAAAAUUAGUGUUAGUUACUUUAGGGAUAACAGCGUUAUAUUUUUGGAGAGAUCUUAUCUAUAAAAAUGAUUGCGACCUCGAUGUUGAAUUAAAAUUACUUUAUAAGGUAGAAU
Molecule: ribosomal RNA, 257 nt
Filed under: Paralicella caperesca
Lineage: Eukaryota; Metazoa; Arthropoda; Malacostraca; Amphipoda; Lysianassidae
Also listed under: 1 other name
Description: partial 16S ribosomal RNA
Source: RNAcentral